This 563-nucleotide ribosomal RNA is filed under the name Wickerhamomyces sp. H6Y19. RNAcentral's name for it is "eukaryotic LSU rRNA". It matches the Rfam family "Eukaryotic large subunit ribosomal RNA", at positions 78 to 655 of the family's 3401-position model. The record is from RNAcentral. Lineage: Eukaryota; Fungi; Ascomycota; Saccharomycetes; Phaffomycetales; Wickerhamomycetaceae.
GCUCAGUACGGCGAGUGAGCGGCAAAAGCUCAAAUUUGAAAUCUAGCACCUUCGGUGUUCGAGUUGUAAUUUGAAGAUGGUAACCUUGGGUUUGGCUCUUGUCUAUGUUCCUUGGAACAGGACGUCAUAGAGGGUGAGAAUCCCGUCUGAUGAGAUGCCCAUUCCUAUGUAAGGUGCUAUCGAAGAGUCGAGUUGUUUGGGGAAUGCAGCUCUAAGUGGGUGGUAAAUUCCAUCUAAAGCUAAAUAUUGGCGAGAGACCGAUAGCGAACAAGUACAGUGAUGGAAAGAUGAAAAGAACUUUGAAAAGAGAGUGAAAAAGUACGUGAAAUUGUUGAAAGGGAAGGGCAUUAGAUCAGACUUGGUGUUUUACGAUUAUCUUCUCUUCUUGAGUUGUGCACUCGUAUUUCACUGGGCCAGCAUCGAUUCGGAUGGCAAGAUAAUGGCAGUUGAAUGUGGCUUCACUUCGGUGGAGUGUUAUAGCUUCUGCUGAUAUUGCCUGUCUGGAUCGAGGGCUGCGUCUUUUGACUAGGAUGCUGGCGUAAUGAUCUAAUGCCGCCCGUCUU